Molecule: ribosomal RNA, 413 nt
Filed under: uncultured bacterium
Lineage: Bacteria
Description: bacterial SSU rRNA
Rfam family: Bacterial small subunit ribosomal RNA
Source: RNAcentral
GGGCCCGCACAAGCGGUGGAGCAUGUGGUUUAAUUCGAUGAUACGCGAGGAACCUUACCAGGGCUUAAAUGUAAGUUGCAUGAUUCAGAAAUGAAUCUUUCUUCGGACUACUUACAAGGUGCUGCAUGGUUGUCGUCAGCUCGUGCCGUGAGGUGUCAGGUUAAGUCCUAUAACGAGCGCAACCCCUGUUGUUAGUUGCCAUCGAGUAAUGUCGGGAACUCUAACAAGACUGCCGGUGCAAACCGUGAGGAAGGUGGGGAUGACGUCAAAUCAUCACGGCCCUUACGUCCUGGGCUACACACGUGCUACAAUGGCCGGUACAGAGAGCAGCCACUACGCGAGUAGGAGCGAAUCUAUAAAACCGGUCUCAGUUCGGAUCGGAGUCUGCAACUCGACUCCGUGAAGCUGGAAUC